UCCCUGGUGGCUGAGCGGUAAAGAGUCCUGCCAAUGCAGGAGACACAGGUUCGAUCCCUGGCCUGGGAG
This 69-nucleotide transfer RNA is filed under the name Bos taurus (domestic cattle). It matches the Rfam family "tRNA". From Rfam's summary of the family: Transfer RNA (tRNA) molecules are approximately 80 nucleotides in length. RNAcentral also lists the same sequence under 4 other names. Lineage: Eukaryota; Metazoa; Chordata; Mammalia; Artiodactyla; Bovidae. The record is from Rfam by way of RNAcentral.